GGAGACCACGGCUCUCUGCGGCUUGGCUGUAGCUUUAGCGCUGUUGGGCUGAUGGCCUGGAGUUCAGCCAAGUCCCAAUGCGCAUGACGUCUGAGACCUCAGUGAGACAGGAAGGACCAGCCUGGGGCCCCUUAGGGGACAGUGACCCCAGCUGGAUGAAAGAGAACACCUGCUCUUUGCCUGGCUGGUUAGGGUCACUUUGCACGUUCACACCCAGAGGAAAUUUGAACCCUUCCACCACCUGAUCCCACCAGCAGCGGCUGACCCAGGACAGGGGAGUGAGAGAUGUCCAGGAUCCAACAAGGAGCCUUCGGAGAGGUUGACACUAACUCCUCAGGAAAAUCCCUGCCUCUUCUACUAUCGAGACUGACGUAUGUUUCUGAUUCUGCUAACCAACUGGACACGUGUUUUUGAUGAUACAACAUGAAGCAGAAAUGGGAAGAUGAUCUGAAAUUACUUCUUGAAUCAGAUGACUGGGAUGAAUUCGGAAAAGAGCCAAGGAACAUGGGAUUUUGCUUUUCCUAAGAGUGAUCUCACUUACGGUGGUUGAGGGGGUGAUCUGUACCCCUGCACAUGUGGAUGGAGUCUAAAGAGGAGAAGAGGACAAUUGUCCCAGCUAAUACCACCCCAAGUCUUUCUCCAUUAGUGAGUGACCUGUAAUGACCCAUGGGGCAUACUUCAGUGUGAGCCUCUAAAAUUUUUCUUGUAGGGGAUCAAACUGUAUCAUUGUAUAUUUUAUUUGUCUCGUGUGUGUAAGAGAAAGCCCAGCAUAGUGUAAGUUCAGAUGCUUCUUAAUAGAAAGGCCCAAGGAAGGUGGAGCUUCAGUAUUUUACUGACAAUGUAUUGGAGAUGAUUGUAGGGUCCAGGAAGGACUUUACAGAGACUCAUAGAUUUUUCAGGUAGCCAUUCCUUAAAUUCACAAAGCAUGAAAAUUGCCUAGAUCUGGGAACCUAAGAAUAGAUGUAUUAGACCUCUUUGCAGGAAACAGAAACCACUCUAGGUGUGUUAAACAGAAAAGGCUCUAAUACAGGGAAUUUUUUCUUUACAAAAUCAAUGGGAGACCUAAAGAAACAGGCUUUAAACUGGGCGUCUGGAAUCUCUCCUGUAAGAAUAUAGAACUGGACAAUGGGAGAGCUGUAACCUCUGAGGCUACUCCUGGGGCUGACCUGAAAGCAAGAAGCUGCUGCUGCAUCUGCUUCUGAUGGAAAAGGAGCACUCAAAGCUGCCAUCUGGGGAUUAGGAAGCCAGACCAAGACACCCAGGAACUGGAGGAUGGACCCUGGGCUGUCAUUGCUGGAAAGCCCUACGUCUCUGUGCCUACGCUGUGGCAGCAGUGGUCAGGCACUGCAGGAAGAGGGCACCUACCUCACUACCGCCUUUUAAAGGCGUCUGUUUGGUGCAGGCUAAUUUUUAUCCAGACCCCUGGAUGCACGGAAGCUUUGAAAAUGCCUUCUAACUCUUCCAUCUGACAGAGGAGAGGGCAAAUGGGCCUUUCCAGAGAGCCCAGCAGAGGAGGUGACACCAACAGGUACUGGAUGGCUAAAGUCGAUUUGUGCAAUAUUAAUUCUUCAAGAAAUGUUUGAGUCAGAAACACAUCACACUUCGGGUGGGUAAAUUGCGGAAAGCAGCCAUUUCUCCCAGUUUCAACGUGUGACACUAGCUGCUUCUGUUUCAGCUCUAUGGUACUUUGGUUUGUGGCCUUGAACAAGCCUCAGUUCCCAUAGUUGUGAAAGGAGAUAUGUGACAAGCUUGAAGGGGUGAUUUCUCUUUUAGCUCAGAGUUUGGUCUAGAGCUGGGCAUGUCUUAUAAGCACUUCUGUGAAAAGCAACUCUUUGUUCUUGGGUUUGCCACAUUUUAGGCACACUUCACUGGGUGAUUUUCUAAGAGCUCGUGAAGAUCAAAGUGAAUUAGGAGGAAGAAAAACUUGUGGAAAGGUUGAGGAAGCACUAGAACAGUGGGCUAUUGGACAAACAGCAGUGUCUGGUAUGAGGCUGGCAUCAUAGUUUCCAGGAUCUGUUCUGUUUGCUAUCUCCAGCAAGCCUCCUUUUGCAGAUGAGAAAACUGAGGUCGGGCAGCUUUGUGACUUUGGAGAUGAUGUUUUAGAGACCCCAUGACAAUGAUAGGGCUGGGAUACAGACGCAUGUGUCCCAGUGCUCUGGCCCCGUGAUGUGUGAACUCCACCCACCAUCAUAAAGGGCACCGUCUACUUGGAAGUCUCCCGGUCUCUAGCUGGGCUCCUGGGAUGAAGAGGAGGAUAGGGAGGGACAUGACGGGUGGAAGCUAGGGUCCUGUUCUGCCUGCCACCCUGGGCUUCAGGGAAAUGCUGGUAAAUGUUUAACAACUGACACCCUUCCCCACCAAAAAUAAAAAGCCCCAAGUUAUAGCA
This is a long non-coding RNA of Symphalangus syndactylus (siamang), 2386 nucleotides long. RefSeq lists it as uncharacterized. The record is from RefSeq and is a predicted model, not a curated record. NCBI's taxonomy places the organism in Eukaryota, Metazoa, Chordata, Mammalia, Primates, Hylobatidae.